GGAGGUUUGGCCCUCCGUUGUCGGUUGGCAGGAGCGGGUGACAAAUCGCCAUAACGCUGCAACGGUUAAGAGCUGUUGUGGUGAGCGGUUAUGGAGAAAGCGUGGCAAGACCACGUCAGA
This is a non-coding RNA of Planctomycetes bacterium GWF2_41_51, 120 nucleotides long. NCBI's taxonomy places the organism in Bacteria, Pseudomonadati, Planctomycetota. The record is from Rfam.